This is a non-coding RNA of Rattus norvegicus (Norway rat), 9963 nucleotides long. The record is from RefSeq and is a predicted model, not a curated record. NCBI's taxonomy places the organism in Eukaryota, Metazoa, Chordata, Mammalia, Rodentia, Muridae.
AGGAAGAAGAGGGGGAGGAGAGAGAAAGAGGAAGAGGUAUGAGAAAGAGGAAGAGGAGGAGGAAGAGGGGAAGGAAGGGGGAAGAAGGGGGUAGAAGGAAGAAGAGGAUGAAGAGGAGGAUGAAAAGGAGGGGAGAAGAAAGAAGGAGGAGGGGAAGGAGGAAGAGGAAAAAGGGGGUAGAAGGAAGAGGAGGGGGAAGAGGAAGAGGAGGAAUAGGAGGGAAGAACAUAGAGGAGGAAGAGGAACUGACAGGACAAGGAGACAAAGGACAGGACAAUGUCUGCCAAUGCUGGGUACCAGCCAGAAUUCACCAGGAAAAGACACAUUCGACAGAUAUUCCAGGAGGAGCAAAGCCCUGUGAUUCAAGUUCUUACUGCUGAGUAAUCCUCUCCUGGAGGAGGAGAGAGUAGACACUAGGUUCCCAGUGGAGAAACACAAAAGCCACAGGGUCCCCUCCAAAUGCAAAAAAAAAAAAAAAAAAAAAAAAAAAAAAAAAAAAAAACCACAACCCCACUUAAAGCCAUCGAGCCAUCGACUCUUGUUGGAAAGUCAGCCUCUGGAAGCCUAAACAAAGAUGUUCUUUUGAGUCUCAGCCUUGAAUCCAGAACCUAGGGUCUUUGGGUCCCUCCACUCUUCCCAUAGCAAUUGACAAAACCGAGCUGUGUCAGACUCCCAACUCUGGCGAGGAAAAACCAAAACCUAAGACUCUGCACUAAGCUCCCAGCCUCCUUGACUCUGGCCAGGACACAGCCAGGCUUAGGGUGGGGUCUGCUUCAACCAAGACCUCUUUGAGGGUUCUUCGGGCUCAGUUUGUCUGCUACAGCCGAGAAAGGCUUGCCGUAGCAUAGCAGCCAAGGAAAGCAAGUGAGCAGCGGUCAAACUCCAUGCAGUGUUCUGGAUAGGCAAAGAGCAGCCCAAAGCUGGGGACUGCAAAAGAAAAGUCGAGAGAGGCAUGACAACCACCCACCCCCAUGACCUGCAAAACUGGUUGGCUCCAAGCUUCUCCCGUGCCGGUACAAGAGGGAAGCGUCCUAGUUUGGACAGAAUCCGCGGGAUGUGUGUCCAGCGCGUAGACCCCAGGCUUUGACUUGUAAAAUCCCGCACCUCCCCUACACUGAGGACCCGAGUGCACACCAGCUCUCCGUGAUGUGGGUUAAACUCCACUUCACAACCCCCAUUGAUACGGGUUUGACAUCUGUUUGCCAGAGUGUUUUGCACUUAGGCUAACACCCACUAUUAAAUGACAAAACUGUGACAGCCUGUCAAAGCCAGCUGACUGGCAGCUGCUCCACUCACAAAAACCAUUCAAAUAUUUGCAGGUUCGCAGUCUUUAUACACUGUUGUACCCAAUCUUUCAGUGAUUUAACAUGUAAAAUAUAAGUCAAAGUUUUAAAUCUGGAUUCCAAAAUGUUUCCAUUUUCCAUACAAAAGGAAAGCGCUUCCUGGUGUCUGCUGGAACGACUCCAACUUCAGAGUCUCCCCGUUUCCUGCCCCCCAGAUUCCUGCACAAACCCGGUUUUUUUUUUUUUUAAACACCCAAGGCCAAAUUCCCUCUGUGCUGCUGACAUUCGGAAUAAAUGAACUAAAUUAUUUAGAACUCCAAGGGAAUGCGGUUCCUCAAAAGAAGGCUGAAAAAAACAAAAACAAACAAAUAAACAAAAAACCCAAAAAUGAGUCACCAAGGCCUUCCGCUGUUUUACUCUUCCUCUCUGUCAGACCAACGAGUCUUUAGGGGGAAAGUCUUGCAACUAGGGAAAGUAUUUCUAGACAGCUCAUCAGCGUUGGCGAGUCCCAGCACAGUAAAUCCUGCAUUGCACAUCGAAAUCGGCUCAGUCCGAUUAAGAAAUAAUUUGCAAAUGACAAAGCGUUUGCCUAGAUUAAGAUCCAUGGAGGGAAAGUCAUGUGGGAUUUUCUAUCUGAGGUUAGAACCAGACACAGAACUGCUGAAAACACGCAGCUGCAGGGGUUGGGAGGGGGGCAUAUGUUUGUCCAUGAGAGAGAGUUCCAGAUAAGUACACACCGCCAGCAUCCCGACCGGGUGAGCAAACGCCUGAUAUUGUCACGUGUGCUGUGUAUGUACAUAAAAAAAAAGAAAUAUUAGUGACCGUCUUGCCUUAGGUUGUGAGUGAAUUGUAAAUCCUUUGGGCGUUAUCUUUAAGAAAAGAAAAGAAGGAAGGGGGAAAGUUUGCUUUUGAGACAUUUCCUAGGUGUCACAGAGGGUUUAGGUCUCUAGUCCAAAGUGCUGACAUUUCCUACAGUUAGGGACCAAAGGGGAGAAGCAAGGAAAAACUGAAAGCCAGACUUGAGCGGCUGCUGUCAAGCGGCCUUCUCAGAGGCGCUACGCCCCGGGGACCGUGCGCCCUGCUUGGAGGUGGGCUGGUUGGCAGCUCCAGCCUUGCAGCAGAGACCAGGGACAGGGACCGGCGGAAGGAGGGAAUUACAGAGUGUUGGGAGGGUCUCCCGCUGCAGACCGGCUGGCCACGCAGUGGCUACUGCCCCUGAGAGCCCCGCCCCGCUCCCUCUCUCUGUGCGCACCGGGACAGACCCCUGUCUGGGCGAGAGUUUUUUUUUUUUUUCUUUUCUUUUCUUUUUCUUUUUCUUUUGCUCUUCUCCUUUUUUUUCUUUCCUUUCCUUUUCUUCUUCUUCUCUCUUUUAACCUGGAGAGCUUUGUGUUCACACUCUAAUCCUUAGACACUGUCUUUCGUUCUGUUGCUGCCCUUGGUAGAGGGAGUACUAGAGGGGGGUGGGGUUGAGGAGCGCAUCGUAGGAGGGGGGAAAACGCUGCCCUAGCUGCUCCCGGGGAGACCUGGCGCGGCGCCCACGUCCAAGGUGUCCCCUCGGCAAGACAACAAAGCUCCAGCCGAGAGCAGAGCCGAAAAAAAACCCACUGCGAGGACACGGUGGGGGCGGAGGGGGCGCGCCGCUCCGAUCCCACGCAAUGACCGCGCUGACUCAGGAGUGCGGGCGGGGGCGUCCCCCCUGCAAGAGGUAGGGAAAGCCGGAAAGCCGCUCCAGGUGAAAGUCGCCGCCCGUGGGAUGCCACAAGUGACUGCUGACAGGGAGAGGGGGUGUGCGAUCCUCUCUGGGGGAGGGUGCGGGAUCCCUACGGUUCUAGGGUCCCGAACCUCUGCGGUCGGGCCAGCGGGAGGGGCGGUGGACGCCGGCGAAUGGGGAGCGGCGGGGACCCGGCUGGGGAGCAGCUAGAGGAGGGCGAGCAGCGGCUCCACCUCCCCGCUCGGCUCGGCGUCCCAGCUGCUCACGAAGCAACGGCUCCCUUCUAUUCACUGCCGAGCAGGAACAAAAACGCGGCUAUUUAUUAGAAUACUUGUUUGGUAUUGUUCAGUGCCACACAAAAGGCGCUUCAUUAUGUGGCGGGAUCCCCCUUUUCCAGAGAGAAACAAUAACCUGAAAUUGUCUUGCGAGUCUUUUCUAUCAAUAAUAAAUUUCAUUUUCUUGUCUCUCUCGCCUGCAGUGUGUGCGUCUGCGAGUGUGUGUGCCGAGCUAGGAGCAAGGAGCUUGCUUGUGGGAGCGAGUGUGCGAGCGGGGGUGCGCGUGUGAGUGUGCGUGCGCGUGGCGCGGGCGCCGUCGCUGCUAGGAGCCUGGCCGGGCCGGGGUCCGCUGGCUUCAGCGCGUGCGCUCGGCCUGCAGGGAGCCCAGGUCCCACGCGGCGGGCAACCAGACAGGGCUGCGAAGGUGCAGGCCGGCCAAGCGCUGCGGACCCGGCGGGCUGCAGGAAGAACUAACUAGACCUCGAACAUCCGCUGUCAGCAGGCACAAGGCUGUGUUCCGAGAUGAGCAACCGAAGCCUCCUCUGCAUGUGUGAAAAAGAAGCAAGAGGAGAAAGCAGGGCUCCUGAAAGCCAGGCUGAUGAGGGAAAUUCCUGUGCUGAGUAAACAUGAAUUUCUGAAUAGGCAGAGUCUAUGUGUGAACAGCACAGGAGCUCGCCCCACCCCACCCCGGCAGACAGCCAGGGGUUUCAGGGAGCCAUGAAGAUGUCUCAGCAAUGUACACAAGACACGCAUAGGUGAAGCUGGACACUAGUCAGACCUGUGAAGUAACUUCCUGUAACAGAGGGAGGAAGACUGGCGGGGAUCAAGUGAUCGCAUCACCUCAUUGGCUCUGCAGGUCUAAGUCAACUCAAAGGCAACCGUGGCCCAGAUCCUCCUGACUUGUCACCGAGAGUGGCUGGAAUGAGUGGUGCUGCAGGAAACGCGGAGCCGAACUUUACAAUAAAAAAAAAAAAAGUAAACUUUGAAUGUCAGCGACAUUCGACGUGGGCGACGUGCGUUGGGAUGUUCAAAGCGGCUCAGAACCUCUGAGUGAGCACAUACAGUCUGGGUUCUCAGUCAGACGAUUCCUACAGGGAUUUGCUGACUUAGGGGUCUCAUGAGCAAUCCAGAGGAAGGGUUCUAGGUUUCCUUUCUGAAACUGUAGCUCAGAUCAGCAUCCACAAAGCAAGCACUCCACGGUGCCUCUUUCCACACGGCCACUGCAUGCACUGUUUCUAGAAACCUGGUGUAGCUACAUGAGGAGCCCUCGCUAGAUGAGCAGGCACCCAGAAUUCAGAGAGGAGCCUUCACUAACCUUGAGUGGGAGAGAAGCCUCUGAGGCACACAGAAAUACUUGUCUGAAGGAGUUGGCUCUUAGAAAUCACAGCACAGAGGCCUCCAGCAGAAGGGGAAGCUCCUGUAGUAGCUGCCACCCUGCAGGCACCCCUCUUACUGGGGUCACCAAGAAACAGCACUACAGAGUCUUGGAACUCUACCCAAGCAAAGAUGCACUUCGACUGCUAGGCCUAAGGCACACGUGGAUGCUGGAGCUCAGCUCGACAACUGGGAAUGGAGGACCCCUCCAGAGCCCCAAAAGACCCCCGCCCGGGGGUGACAUCAGUUGGGGAGCUAUUAAUAACUGCCCUCCCCUCUGUCAUAUUUCCUGAACUGUGUGGGGAAGGCGAUUGUGAGGCGCUCUGCUGGAAUUUGGCAGCGCGGAGGCUUGGAGAGCAGCCCCAUGCUGGCUCCUAUUCAGCCGGCCAGUUUUCCUCGAGCUUUGGAAGUUUCACUCAGCCGUGCACUCAAUGGCUUCACAAAGCUGAUUACAAGCUUCAGCGCAUUCCUGAAGGAGCCAAAAGCGACGCAGGUGCAAACGAGCCGAGGGAGCCCCUUAUCCCGGUGACAGAAUGGGACAAGCUGGGAAAGGCUUGGACCACACAAAUCCAAGGCUCACCAGGCAGCAGAGAGCCUGCCUUGGGAACCGGGGGUCAUUAUCCGCCCUAUUCAGCGGGGCCGGGGACCCUGGGGCCGGGGAGGCCGGCCGGGCGCAAGCGCCACCGCCAGUGCGCGCCUGCGGCAGUGGGGACCCCGCUGGGCGCUGCAGCCCGUUGGGCUGUUGGGCGCUGCGUUUGUUCCUGCCGACAGCGGUCCGCGAAAUCCAUCCUGCUCGUGAAAGUCGGUGUCCACGCUAACCCGGGUACUGGAGAACGAGGGUAGCGAAGAUGCGCAGUACGCGGACAGUGCGCAACUUCGUCUCCAUCACAGUCACUUAUCUGGAAACCUGCGGCUGGAUUAAUCGCUAUAUUCCCAAGAUGAGCAGUGCUGCAAUCCGCCGAGAACACGGGUGGGAACACGGAACCAUACCCCAGGUUCUCGCGGGGCCAGCAGCUGGCCAGCUCCCUGCAGCGAAUGCUGCACAGUUGCUGGCACCUGUUCAGGUUGGGGGGUUCCGGGCACUUAGGUGCCCAGAGGCUGUAGAAGAAGGGAAGGACAUAGGCCUGUGGGAACCCCGGCGCGUGAGAGAGAUUGGUUGGCCCCCAGAGAAGGCAGAGAACUGCCUAUGCAAAUAAAGAGCUUUUUGACCUGACGGGAAAUAAUGCUUCUGAACCUUCAGACCAUGGCCUAUUCAGAUGCAGAAAAAUGUUCCCUCCCAUCUUGAUCUCCCAGCCUCACCCCUACCACACCCACCGCUGAGCCUUAGGCCCCUCCCCUGUGAUUUCUGCCUUCAGGAGUUAGCAAUAUUUACUUAGGAACUGUGGGCGUGGAAAUAAGUCGUACUUGUCCAGCCCCUGGUCCUACUUAUUCAAGUUAAAGAUGGUGGGCUGUGUGGUGCCAAAGCUCUAGGGAGAGUGCUUGUCUCCAAAUCCUUUCUCUGCUGAAGUCAAAACAUCACCUUUGAGGGAACUAUUAAUCGGUGCUGGAGAUUGCCCUGCCUGAGGAGGUGUGAAAGCCAGGCAUCAGCAUGUGAAGCUUAAGGUCAUAGAGAUGGAAACUGUGUGCCUCCAUUUUUGGCAGCAUAUUAAACAUCCAAGAUGGGCAUUGGCCCAUCACACUAUUAGAUUGUUAGAUGAGGGGGUACCCCAAGAUGCCCCCCCCCCAACAGCCUCUGCAAGCUCCUCUUAAAAGUGUCCUGGUUGUUCCUCUCCAGCAGCUUGAGGAAACCUUCAAGAGCAAAUAUGUGAAUCCCUGCAAACCAGUUCCAGCUAAGGUUCCCAGGACAGCCGUCCUCGUGCCCUCUGGAUGCCUUCCAACUUCAGCUCUCACCUGAAUCCUGUCACCUCUGAUCCGUGGACAAUGCGGAGCCGGACAGGCCCUGGUCAACCAGGCAGAACAGGUCUAUGCAAAUGCUGGAGGCCAGCCCUGGGAACAGUGCGCCCAUUGUCCAGGGCCUUUCAAAGCCGGGAGCAGCUGCUCAGACUUGCCGCCCUGGACCCUCGACUGCCAGAGUAGCCUCAUCAUUGCGAGACAUAGGCUCUGAAAUCAUACGCCCCGAGUUCACGAGCAGCCUCGCCCUGGGUGUUUCUGUCUGUGCCACAUUUCAAAGUCCAGAGCUGCUUUUCCGUUGUUGGGGACCAUAGGAGGGCAGGGGCAGGGGAGAGUUUGCGGGUUUCUUACUAGAGGAUCUGAAAACUUUACAGACUGGCCUUGGCUCAAAGGACUAAGUGGGCAAGGCUUUUCUGUUGUCUCUCGCUUGCUGUUUGCAAGUUUAAGUGCAUCGAAAGGAGCCAGGGUGAAGAGACAGAGCAAGAGCCAGCCACAGUGCUGAGGAUAUUUUCAUUAGCUUGGCGCUUCCUAGAGAAGCCAGCAGGCUCACUGGAUCAGCACCCUCAGACCACCUCAGCUCCCUUCACAGAAGCAUCAGUGGUUUAUAUAACCACUUCCAUACUCCCUCCCUGACUUCCCCUCCCCUCCUCUGCAAUCUGAAUUAGAAGGGAUGCUCUUGGGCCAGGAGAUGGUGGUUCCUAGUGUAAGAGAUGAGAAUGAGGACCAGCACUGGGUGGCCUGUAGUGUGUCAAACCUGAGACUACAUCCCUCUGGUCUUUAGGCACAGAGCCUAGUGGAGAGGAUUUCCAAGGAUUUGGGGGGAGAACCAGGGCUUCUGGUGAGACAGCUUCCUCCUCACUUUAAUAUGUUUGGUCCCAGGGACCUCAAGUGUAUUGCAUUUUGCUUUGUUCUGGGUCUCAUUCUGUAACUCAAGCUGGCCUAGAACUCAGUGAAAUCCAGGUGUGUCAGCUUUACCGAGUGUGGUAGCACAGGCCUGAGGCACCCUGCUCUGUGGACACGUCCCCUGACUCUUCUCAGGACUCUGCUCCUGAUCUCUCUGCCUUCUCCCUGGAUGGAGCAUGCUUCCAGAAAACAGCAAAAAAACCACUAGGUCACUUCUAGCAGGAUCGUACUCAAGAUAGGAAGGUUGCAGGGUGUGUCCUCCUAUACUGCGUAAGGCCUCCCCUCUGUACCUCAACCCUCCCAAGGAGCCUUCCCAAUUCUUGAUAGCCUGAACAGGAAGGGCUCAGAUAGAUGUGAAGUGCGACAAAAUAUUGUUUUACACAGGAAAAAAGGCUGGAAAUUAGUGGAGCAGAGAUCCUGUAACACACGAGGCUUAUAUAUUUGGGUUUGAUCCUCUGAGCAUUCUAGGCUGCCCAAAAGCAGGGAGACCAUAGGGCAGCCAUUUGAAUAUUACUGUGGUGGGGAAGGCAUCAGGAUGUAAACUGCAUGGACAAGCUGGGCUGUCAGUAAGGACCAGAUGCCCUAGAGAUGCUCAGGAAGUGCAGAGGUCAUGGAUAGGAGGGUUGAUAGGGCUGGCAGCCAGAGAUGUCAUGGACAAAACAGGGACUCCUUUCUGCAAAAGAGCCUUUCCUGUUUCUGGGGAACAGUUAUGGGCUUGCCCUUGCCUCUCUCCCCUUCCCCCACACAGUGGGCAUUCAUCCUCACAUGCUUAUGCACACUUGCACACAUCAGGUGCCAGACAUCAGCUCGUAGGUAUAGCAAGUCAUUCACAAGUGACAGACUCACACUCAAAACCAGGGCAUUCCCUAGUUCUAGAGCCGGGUUCCAGCUGAAGGCUGGAUGACUCAUCUGGCCCGAGUGUUUGACCUCCAGGCAGAACCUGAAGAACUCUGGGUUAGGCACACAGGACAGUGUGAAUCCAAGGGCCUUUCCUUCUGUCCUGUCAGGAUCUGGUUUUGUCCCAGGUUGGACAACUUGUGGGUGGGCUUGUCAACUUUUCUUCUGUGGUUCCUGCUUUGCCUUUUCUGUUUGUAUUUGUUCCUGGGUUGCUCUCAGAGUUACAUAUUUAACGCUAUCCAGGAGGGUACCUGGCCAGCACACAUGGUCCCAAGCACCCAAAAUUCAGACUGUCAUGCACAGAUUUUUAAAGCUGCUGAAUGAGAAGGAGAUCAUUGAUUACUUGCGAUGUUGGCUACAGAAAUAGCGGUACUUGGAAUGUGUUGCAUUAAAUAGAACACAUUGUUAAAGUGAGCCUCACUGACAGCUGCUCUUGGAAGUCAGCGUGGCCUUGUUAGCUCCUCUUUCUGGCUGUGUGCCUUUGGUCUUUCCAUGAUCCUCUAGGAAAUGGAAAAGGAAAAAACAAGUGCAGAGGAAAGGACUGAGCCUGCGCUGGGUAGAGGCAGCCAGAGACCCUCCCAGCUCCUUUCUAAGUUACUCUUGUAACAAUCAAAACUCCCUUGCUUGCAGCAACAGAAAAAGAAGUACACAUUGUAUUUAUUGCUGGAAUUGUAUUCUUUCUACUAGAGCUUUGAUUCUGUUUAAUUACAUUAUGAUCUCCCACAGCCUUCCUUAAGCCCUGCAGCAACUUUUGAAGAAUCUUGGUACUACCAUUGGGUGGCAGAGGAAUGUUGAUUCCAGGAGCCCCUGUGUGAAUGCCAUGGCAUUAUAAAGAAACCUCUUUCUGCUAUUUUCAAACUUUUAGUCAGCUCUUGACACUUUCUGGCUUUAAUUUUGCCUUACAAAUGAGUCACACAGGUCUAACUGCCACCACUCAAACCAAACACAAAAUUCUGAGCAGAAACUUGUCUUCUAUGAACAGGGCCUGUCCCAAGAAUGAGUUCAGUCUGGAAAUUCUUCUCUGGGCUAACACAGAGCUUUAGAAGCAUAUGAAACCAGACUUAGGCCAAGGAGGCCAUGAGGGAACAUGCUUAUAAAGGUCUGUGUUACAUCCCCUCAUGCACUGGGGAGUGUGCUUGCCAUAGUGCACGUGGAGGACAGAGGACAGCCUUCAGGAGUCACUUCUCUCCUUCCAUGCUGUGGGUCCCAAGGAUCUAAGGCAGGCCAUCAGGCUUGGCACCAAGUGCCCUUAGAUGUUGAGCCUUCUUGCCAAUCUAAGUAAACUUUAAUAUUAAAAAUUUUCAAGGUACUCUCUAUAUAUAAUAUUUUAGAUACCAGAUGUCUGUAAGCGAAGUCAUAAAAAAAAUAGAAAAUUUAUUUCAUCAUUUGAUAAUAAGAAAUGAAAAACCUGCUCCCUGCUUAUUGUCCUCAACAUAUCCUAUUAAAGUACACCAUGAACAUUUUACAUGAAAAGGCUUGGAGUAUAUACAGCAUCGUUCAAUAUAUUUACUUUGGGUAUUGUAUAACCAAUAUGAAAAAAUUUGGGAAAAUAUGAAGUUAAGUCCACUAUGCCAAUAAAUUGGAAAUAUCUCGGAGAUAAUUUUGAAUAAAAUGAUUUUUCAUCAUAAAA